Molecule: ribosomal RNA, 812 nt
Filed under: uncultured bacterium
Lineage: Bacteria
Description: bacterial SSU rRNA
Rfam family: Bacterial small subunit ribosomal RNA
Source: RNAcentral
UAGCGGUGAAAUGCUUAGAUAUCACGAAGAACUCCGAUUGCGAAGGCAGCACACUAAGCCGUAACUGACGUUCAUGCUCGAAAGUGUGGGUAUCAAACAGGAUUAGAUACCCUGGUAGUCCACACGGUAAACGAUGGAUACUCGCUGUUGGCGAUAUACUGUCAGCGGCUUAGCGAAAGCGUUAAGUAUCCCACCUGGGGAGUACGCCGGCAACGGUGAAACUCAAAGGAAUUGACGGGGGCCCGCACAAGCGGAGGAACAUGUGGUUUAAUUCGAUGAUACGCGAGGAACCUUACCCGGGCUUAAAUUGCAAAGGAAUGAUCUGGAAACAGGUCAGUCUUCGGACCUUUGUGAAGGUGCUGCAUGGUUGUCGUCAGCUCGUGCCGUGAGGUGUCGGCUUAAGUGCCAUAACGAGCGCAACCCUCGCCGCCAGUUACUAACAGUUAAAGCUGAGGACUCUGGCGGGACUGCCAUCGUAAGAUGUGAGGAAGGUGGGGAUGACGUCAAAUCAGCACGGCCCUUACGUCCGGGGCUACACACGUGUUACAAUGGGCGGUACAGAAGGCAGCUACCUGGCGACAGGAUGCCAAUCCCUAAAGCCGCUCUCAGUUCGGACUGGAGUCUGCAACCCGACUCCACGAAGCUGGAUUCGCUAGUAAUCGCGCAUCAGCCACGGCGCGGUGAAUACGUUCCCGGGCCUUGUACACACCGCCCGUCAAGCCAUGAAAGCCGGGGGUACCUGAAGUGCGUAACCGCAAGGAGCGCCCUAGGGUAAAACCGGUAAUUGGGGCUAAGUCGUAACAAGGUAACCA